UCUCAGUCUAUGAACAGAGAGCUGGCACUCCUCACACCCUUGUUGUAGUAAUUGUAACUCAUUCUCAGGUAUCGUCACUCUGACUGUGACGGCGUCCCACUUCCAUCCGGACGUCAUCACCUUCCGCUGGUUCUGCGAGGGGGGCGAGCUGUGCCCGGUUGCUGCCCCCCCAGGCCUCAGUGCUCCUCGCCCAGAUGCCCAGGGCUUCUUCUCAGCUAUGAGCCAGUGCAGACUGCCCAAAGCCGAGCUGGAGAGAGGAAGAACCACCGUCUGGGUCACCAUCCACCACAUGUCCCUCAAACAGCCAAUCACUCGCAAGACCAGAGGGUUCAUAAAGAGGCCUACCGUCUCAGAAAUCCACUGCACUCCAUCUUUCCCCGACCAGGGACCUCUGACCCUGACCUGCGACAUCUCAGACUUCUACCCUCCUGAUGUCUCUGUUAAAUGGCUGAGGAGAGGAAGGAACGAGGGAGAUGAGCAGGAGGUGGAGGAGGCAGGAGCAGAGGGGGAAGAAGGAGUUAAGGGGGCAGCAGAAGUCUGGGGGCCGAUCCAGACUCAGCCGAGGGCGUUCCGGGCCACGGCUCUCCUGAAGGAGGUGGAGAACGUGCUGAAGGAGAUGGAGGAGGGUGGAGAGAUUGUGUGCAGGGUGGAGCACUGUGCACUACAGGAGCCCGUGGAGAGAGUCUGGAGGAAAAAUUGCAUGGUGGCUCCCUCCAUCCCUCUCUCUCUGUCUGUGAACUGGAGGAAUGACGGGGUUGGCGUGUUCUCCCUGUGCAUGUCCGCUGGUGUCCCUCACCCUAAGAUGCUCUGGGCUGCUGGCGGUUCCUCUCUAACACAGCUGAUCUCCAGAGAGAAGGAGAAGGAGGCUGAGAGCGGAGCGAGGGAGCUGCUGAGCGUCUGUGCUCUGGUGAAGUCAGAAGGACCUCAGAGAUCAGAGCCCCACCCACACAGUCGCAGGAACGGACAUCUAAACGGCUCUCAGUUUCCUGUGUUCUGUAAUGAAGUGGAGAAUGGACACACUGAUCUGAGGGAAAGAGAACAGGAGAACCACACGGAAACAGCUGAAGAGAAAUGGACACAAACCUCAGAGGCAGAAACUGAAGAUGGAGAGACAGAACCGGAGUUCUCCUACAUAAACACGGUGAACGUGAGGAGAGAGGGGCGGCGGGGGGAGAAAGAGCGCCUUCGAGUGGUUGUGGAGAUAACCCAUCCUGCACUGAGCCUGCCUGUGUACCGCACCUGGACAGAGCCUGACGAGGAAGUAUCGUCCUAAUGCAUCAACAUUAAAAUGUUUCUCCAUGUGUUUAUUUAUACUGAAUAUAAAAUUAUUAUUAUCUAAACCUAUUUUUUUAACUUUACCAUUUAGCAUUUUCAUUUUCUUUUUUUUUUUCAAGUAUAAUGUUCCAGUUUUCCUGCUAAUAAUGUAACUUCUGUUACAAAAGUACCAGUAAUGAAGUGAGUCUUCAUAAAGCCUCCAGCGUUUGGACUGAAGAAUGUUGAGAAGCUCAGCAGCUUGGGUUCCUCCCCUGCUGAAAUGUUGUGGCAUGUUGAAGGAAUUUAUUUCCUUCAGCAAUAUUUAAAAUGACUGUGAGGAUACGGUGCAGAAUAUCAGAUAUGCAGAUAUCAGAUGUAUUAUGUUGUUUUGUACAUAAUGGUAUAAAUUAACACAAAUUAACUCUGUGAUAUGUUGUCUGUGUAAAUAAACUGUCUACAUUUGCUACCUAUCUAGCUAAA
This 1734-nucleotide long non-coding RNA is filed under the name Astyanax mexicanus (Mexican tetra). RNAcentral describes it as "lncRNA (ENSAMXG00005016176.1)". Lineage: Eukaryota; Metazoa; Chordata; Actinopteri; Characiformes; Acestrorhamphidae. The record is from RNAcentral.